AGCCGUGAGUCCCCUGGGAGCAUGCCUAAGAGUACAGCACCUUCGGCAGAGUGAAUCAGAACCUCGUGGGACCAGACCUUUAUCUUCUUGGCGGAUGCAACUACCAAUUGAUAGGCACAUGAUGAGAUCUCUGGAGAGGCUGGUCACAGG
Molecule: long non-coding RNA, 150 nt
Filed under: Anas platyrhynchos platyrhynchos (common mallard)
Lineage: Eukaryota; Metazoa; Chordata; Aves; Anseriformes; Anatidae
Description: lncRNA (ENSAPLG00000030266.1)
Source: RNAcentral